This 497-nucleotide ribosomal RNA is filed under the name uncultured bacterium. Its description in RNAcentral is "partial 16S ribosomal RNA". It matches the Rfam family "Bacterial small subunit ribosomal RNA", at positions 28 to 507 of the family's 1533-position model. The record is from RNAcentral.
GAUGAACGCUGGCGGUGUGCCUAAUACAUGCAAGUCGAGCGAACAGACAGUGAGCGUGCGCCUUUACCGUUAGCGGCUGACGGGUGGGUAACGCGUAGGUAAGCUACCUCUAUUUCGUGGGUGACUUCGUGAAACCGGUGCUGCUACUGGCGCAUAUUUCCUACGGGUGGAUUCAAUAGUUAAAGGUGCCUUUGGUGAUAGUUUGAGAUGGAGCUGCGCCGGAUUAGCUAGUUGGUAAGGUAACGGCUCACCAAGGCAACGAUACGUAGCCGACCUGAGAGGGUGAUCGGCCACACUGGAACUGAGACACGGUCCAGACUCCUACGGGAGGCAGCAGUAGGGAAUAUUCGGCAAUGGGCGAAAGCCUGACGCAGCAACGCCGCGUGAGUGAUGAAGGCCUUCGGAUUGUAAAACCCUUUUAUUAGGAAAGAAAAACAGUGUAAUAAAAUGCCGACGUUCUGACGGUACCUAAUGAGAAAGCAACGGCUAACUACGUG